AGCUCGUGUUGUGAAAUGUUGGGUUAAGUCCGCAACGAGCGCAACCCUUAUCCUUUGUUGCCAGCGAUUCGGUCGGGAACUCAAAGGAGACUGCCGGUGAUAAACCGGAGGAAGGUGGGGAUGACGUCAAGUCAUCAUGGCCCUUACGAGUAGGGCUACACACGUGCUACAAUGGCGCAUACAAAGAGAAGCGACCUCGCGAGAGCAAGCGGACCUCAUAAAGUGCGUCGUAGUCCGGAUCGGAGUCUGCAACUCGACUCCGUGAAGUCGGAAUCGCUAGUAAUCGUGGAUCAGAAUGCCACGGUGAAUACGUUCCCGGGCCUUGUACACACCGCCCGUCACACCAUGGGAGUGGGUUGCAAAAGAAGUAGGUAGCUUAACCUUCGGGAGGGCGCUUACCACUUUGUGAUUCAUGACUGGGGGUGAAGUCGUAACAAGGUAAGCGUAGCGAG
This 452-nucleotide ribosomal RNA is filed under the name uncultured bacterium. RNAcentral describes it as "bacterial SSU rRNA". It matches the Rfam family "Bacterial small subunit ribosomal RNA", at positions 1057 to 1509 of the family's 1533-position model. The record is from RNAcentral.